Molecule: long non-coding RNA, 268 nt
Filed under: Lathyrus oleraceus (garden pea)
Lineage: Eukaryota; Viridiplantae; Streptophyta; Magnoliopsida; Fabales; Fabaceae
Description: Pisum sativum (pea) long non-coding RNA (PSAT_LNC008624)
Source: RNAcentral
AGGGAGUGAUUUUUUUGAAAUUUAAGAAGUGGGAGGAGAUGAAGAGACUAUCCUAGACAAAAAUUAAAAGUUAAAGGUUGAAAAGAUCUAACCAAUGGGAUGCAAUCCAAAAGAGAAGAAUGUCAUAUAGAAACCCAUUUUCCUUUGGACUUUAGUAGGCCACAAGCAUAAACAAUAUCCAAGCAAUUAUAUUAAGGCCACGACAUCAAAUAAAGAUAGCCAGAAUAUCCAAGCAAGCAACUCCAAUAGCUAGGAGUCUUCAACUUCU